UACUAUACAUUCAGAUCAGGAUAAUAAUAUAUACCUUUCUGUUCAUAACAAUGUGUUCCAAUUGAAAAUUUUAAUUUAUGGUCCACUUCCUGUACGUUUUCCAUUUUCUUGUUUACACACUAGUGCCAGUGCAUAUUUGCAUUGAAUCCAGUAAAUCUAAAAUGAAGUGGGACAUAAAUUAUACUGCUUUUCAAACAGAAAAAUGUAUACUAUGUUUCAAAGUGUCCCUUUUGAUACAAAUUGAAAGCAGAUUUAGCAGUUCAACUCUCCACUCAUACACAUAGCAAGUUUACUCCAAAUCAUGACUCACAUAAAACCUAUAAAUAAUGGAACGUAUUCUUAUGUAGAACUUUAAUUGUUAUGAGUUUGGAAACAGCUACGAUACUUACUUAAUCUUCGGAACUAGAUCUUGAAAAUCAGAGGGAUGGCAAACUGCUACUGAAAAAAGUUUAACUUUUACAUACCUUUUAACGUACUGGGUAGCCUUUUGCUGUCUGUUAAUAAAGGUUUACAGCUUGUUCGAAGAAUUUUGUCUGGCAACAGGUGUAUUUUCGUUGGAGACUUUCUUUUAGCCUUUGGAGAAUUUAUUCUUUCCAAAGUUUUAUGAGGAAGAUUCAAUGUUGGAAUCGAGCCCAGUUUUAAUGAUUUCUUAUUAGUUGAUCCACUCAUUUCAAAACAAUCGGAUGUAAUGUGUCUUUCACAAAUAGAUGCUUUAAAGUUACCAAACAUGAAGAAUGAGGGCUCCAUGCAACUCAAAUCCAUUAUUACAUCAUAUAACUAUAGGAAACAGAAAUACAACUUACGAUUCUCUAUCCAACAUGUUUUUGAUACGGUCCCCUUUUGUUGGAUCCCGGUACUAACUUUUGGUAUUUUUUCCUCUGGAGUCUUUGCAAACUUGGGGUGACAAAUGACAAACAGGCUCAUAAAUGGGGAAUCCUGCAUAAGUGUAAUGUUAUUAUUGCUGUUACUUGAUACAACAGUUAGACGCUGGUAUCCUGAGAUCUUCUACUAAAAAUAAUCGUGUAAAAUCAUACAAAUAUACAUAUCGAAAUAUGCAUUCUUACUGUAACAACAACUUU
This is a non-coding RNA of Ciona intestinalis (vase tunicate), 1079 nucleotides long. NCBI's taxonomy places the organism in Eukaryota, Metazoa, Chordata, Ascidiacea, Phlebobranchia, Cionidae. The record is from RefSeq and is a predicted model, not a curated record.